This 254-nucleotide ribosomal RNA is filed under the name uncultured bacterium. RNAcentral describes it as "partial 16S ribosomal RNA". It matches the Rfam family "Bacterial small subunit ribosomal RNA", at positions 524 to 776 of the family's 1533-position model. The record is from RNAcentral.
GACGAAGGGGGGCUAGCGUUGUUCGGAAUUACUGGGCGUAAAGCGAGUGUAGGUGGUUGUCACAGUCAGGUGUGAAAGCCUUGAGCUCAACUCAAGAAAUGCACUUGAUACUAGGCGACUAGAGGACCGGAGAGGAUAGUGGAAUUCCCAGUGUAGUGGUGAAAUACGUAGAGAUUGGGAAGAACACCAGUGGCGAAGGCGGCUAUCUGGACGGUUUCUGACACUAAGACUCGAAAGCGUGGGGAGCAAACAGG